This 1518-nucleotide ribosomal RNA is filed under the name Triticum aestivum (bread wheat). Its description in RNAcentral is "partial small subunit ribosomal RNA". Lineage: Eukaryota; Viridiplantae; Streptophyta; Magnoliopsida; Poales; Poaceae. The record is from RNAcentral.
AUGGAUGCCUGCCUCCAGCUGCACUUGUUUCUCGUGCUUCUCGUGGCUAUCCUGGUUCUGUUCUUGAGGCCCCGAUGCUCGGUCGCUCGAGACAGGAGCGCUAGUCGGCAUCCGCCGGGGCCGUGCGCGCUGCCCAUCGUCGGCCACCUGCACCACCUCGCGGGCACUGUCCCGCACCGUGCCUUGAGCAGCCUCGCCCGGCGCUACGGCCCGCUGAUGAAGCUCCGUCUCGGCGAGCUGGUGGUGGUGGUAGCGUCGUCCUCGGAUGCUGCGCGAGAGAUCAUGAAGGUCCACGACGCCAACUUUGCGUCGAGGCCGCUGACCUCCAUGCAGAGGCUCGCGUUCCAGGGCAACGAGGGCCUGGUCUUCGCGCCCUACGGUGACGGCUGGCGGCAGCUCCGCAAGAUUUGCACCAACGAGCUCCUCAGCUCCCGCAGCGUCCAGUCCUUCCGGCACGUCCGUGAGCAGGAGCUCGGCCGGCUCCUGCGCUCGGUGGCGGAGGCCUCGGCGUCCGGCUCGCCGGUGAACCUGACCAAAGGUAUAUCGGCGUACCUCGCGGACUCAACGGUGCGCGCCGUCAUCGGCAGCCGGUUCAGACAACGGGACAGGUACCUGCGCGUGCUGCAGGACUUGCUGAGGAUCGUGCCCGGGAUGACCCUCCCUGACCUCUUCCCCUCCUGGCGGCUCGUCCUGCUCCUCAGCAGCGUCCCCGGCCGCAUAAGGCGCCAUAGCGAAGACAUGAAACAGAUGAUGGACAUCAUCAUUCGAGAGCGCCAGGAGGACAGAGCUGCCGGCCAAGCCAAAGAGGAAGACUUCCUCGAUGUGCUUCUGAGGCUUCAGGCGGAAAUGGAUUCCCAGUAUCCACUCACCACAGAAAACAUCAAGACAGUCCUGCUGGACAUGUUUGGCGCGGGCAGCGAGACGUCAGCUACCACGCUGGAGUGGGCGAUGGCCGAGCUGCUGCGGAACCCAGCGAUCAUGGGGAAGGUGCAAGACCGUGUCAGGCAAGCAGCAGCACUCGCUGGCCGUAACACUGUGACAGAAGCCGACCUGCCAAAUCUGCACUACCUGCGGCUAGUCAUCAAGGAGACGCUCAGGCUGCACCCUCCGGUACCGCUACUGCUCCCUCGCGAAUGCGAGAAGCCGUGUCAAGUCCUGGGCUUCGACGUACCAAGGGGGGCCAUGGUGAUCGUGAACGCGUGGGCGAUCGGCAGGGACCCGGCGCACUGGGACAACCCGGGCGUGUUCGCGCCUGAAAGGUUUGAGCAGGAUAAGCGGGACUUCAAGGGGACGAACCACGAGUUCCUGCCGUUUGGUGCUGGGAGGCGGGUGUGCCCUGGCAUGUCAUUCGGGCUGGCGCAUGUCGAGCUCGCGCUCGCAGGGUUGCUGUUUCACUUCGACUGGAAGCUGCCGGGCAAGGAUCUGGACAUGACGGAGGCAUUCGGGAUCUCAGCAAGGCUGCGGUCUGAUCUUACCGUUCUCGCCGUCCCCCGUGUCCCGGUGCCCACGAAGCAGUAA